RNAcentral lists this ribosomal RNA (253 nucleotides) under uncultured bacterium. RNAcentral describes it as "partial 16S ribosomal RNA". It matches the Rfam family "Bacterial small subunit ribosomal RNA", at positions 524 to 776 of the family's 1533-position model. The record is from RNAcentral.
UACAGAGGGUGCGAGCGUUAAUCGGAAUUACUGGGCGUAAAGGGCGCGUAGGCGGUGUAUUAAGUUAGAUGUGAAAUCCCUGGGCUUAACCUAGGAACUGCAUCUAAGACUGAUACGCUAGAGUGCGGUAGAGGAUAGUGGAAUUUCCGGUGUAGCGGUGAAAUGCGUAGAUAUCGGAAGGAACACCAGUGGCGAAGGCGGCUAUCUGGACUGACACUGACGCUGAGGCGCGAGAGCGUGGGGAGCAAACAGG